UUUAUUAAUUAAGUUUCUAAAAAAGUAGUAAUCACCACUCAAAUAAAAUUUUGAAGUACAAGCAAUAAUCAAAGCAUUGUGUGAAGCAACUGUAUAUUUGGCAUUUUGGUGCACCUAUUAGACUAUAGAAUCGGAAUGUAAUUCAUUGAUUUCGAUAGUUGCCAUUUGUUUUAUAGGAAUCGGAUUCCGAUUCACAUUUCACUCCGGAAUGGGAAUGGCCAAAUCCAUUUACGAUCCAAUCCGGUUUUGAAUUUCAGAUUGGCUCAUUCCAAAGUAAAUUAUUCAAAAUCCUCUUUCAUCAACACCUACCUCCUCUCCCUUCAUCACUUUCCUCUCUCUUAAUCAAAACCCUCUCUCAAAAAUUUUAAAUUUUUAUUUCGACUUCCAUUCCAACAAUGAACCAAACAUUUUGGAUGAUUCAUCAUUCUAUUUUCCAUUCCAAAGCAAUCCAAUUUCAUUUUCUAUUCAUAUUCCAAUCAUAAACCAAACAGGUCCAUUAUUUAGUCGUGUUAUGAUAUUGUAUGAAAUAAUCAUAUGUAAUUCUUUAAAACUUAAGCUGCUGAAGUCGAAGAUGUUCAUUUAUUUACAUUUUUUUUUUUUUUUUUUUACAUGCAACAUAUUGCAUAUAUAUAUAAAAAUGUAAAUUUCUUUUGCAAUUUUUCUUAAGAAUCUUAUAUUUAUGGAAAAAUGAUUGAGAUGGAGAGAGUAUGGAUGUCAAUGGUUGGUUUCAGAGUGGAUUUUGCAAACUAAAAGUGGAGGGGGGCCCACCAUGGAUGUAAGGUGGGCCCUCUUAUUGUUCGNGCAACAUAUUGCAUAUAUAUAUAUAUAAAUGUAAAUUUCUUUUGCAAUUUUUCUUAAGAAUCUUAUAUUUAUGGAAAAAUGAUUGAGAUGGAGAGAGUAUGGAUGUCAAUGGUUGGUUUCAGAGUGGAUUUUGCAAAAUAAAAGUGGAGGGGGGCCCCCAAUGGAUGUAAGGUGGGGCCCUCUUAUUGUUGGAUCUACGUUAUUUUAACGAGCCAAUUCGGCGUGCCUAUUCUAUAAGGCUAGCAUUACUCUUUUAGAAAAUACGAAACCAAAUCCAAAUAAAAAACCAAAACCCUAAAUCGAACUCGACUAUUUAAAAUUAUAAAAAAUUAUAUUAAAUCACUAAUAUAUGUAAAUUAUUAAAUAAAUAUCUAAAGUAACAUCGUUUGUAUGUAUAAAAUAAGUUUUAUAUGGUUGCCGUUUUUUGUUUGGGUUCGGAUACGAGUUCGGAGAAAAUCAUAACUAAAGCUGAAUCUGUCGAAUUUUUAUUUUUUUAUAUCCAUAAUCAAAGUCAUACUUAUUUAAUAUCAGUUAAACCUGCUUUAUUCAGGCUCGAAUACUGGUAAAAUUUCGAAUGUCCAUACCCAUUGACAUCCGAGAGAGAGAGAGUAAAAAUAAAAGUAUAAAAGAGUGGAGAAAAAGGGGAUUUCUUAGAUGGUAACAUAGGAACAAAGAACAUAAAACACCCACCAUUAAAUUAAACCAAUUUGCAACAUUUUUUUACAAUAAAUUUUAGGAUCCCCUUGGUCUCCAUAUGGCUCAACAAACUUGGAACUGUUAUGCUCUUGUGGGCCAUAUUUUUUUGAUUUAGUCUAUAACAUUAACAUUAAUGUGUCCACUUAUGCUCCAAUUCGUCUUUUGUUUUGGCCCAACCACCAUUGAAAAGGAAAAAGAAUUAAUAAAAAAAAGGGGGGCAAGUGCACCAAAUUAUUACAACAUUAAAGUUUUCAAAAAAUCACUUGUAAGUUAUGCCCUAACUUUUGGAAAAAGAAAUUAUAUGUUGAGCCCCACUUGUAGUAUAUAUAAUCAUUUUUUGCUUUGACAAUUUGAAUUAAGAUGUAACUCUUUCCCACUCAUUUCAUGGUUUUUUAUGUUAAGUGAAUUGGACUAAUAUUAUACUGUGACUUUUUUUUUUUUUUGGAGCAAUUGGAUUAUUUUUAUCUACCAUUUAUAUUUCUUCCUGAUUGGAGUGUUGCAUGUGAUGGCUUAUUAGGGAUCGUUUGAUUGGAUAUAAUCAGAAAUACGAUGUACUUGGAGAUGUAUGCAGUUGAAAAAUACAGUAGUUGUAAUUAUAAUUUAUUGCAUGUAGUUGAAAAGUGCAUUUUAAAAAUUUUAUCACUAUAUAUUUGCGGUGUGAAGAUUACUUUCAAUAUAGGGGAAAAAAUUAUAUUUAAAAGUGAUUAAGGAGUUAAGCUUAUCUUUUCUGUAAAGUUACUCUCUCAAACUGCUGUAGUUGGACUUUCUCAUACAAUUUCAAUCAUAACUUGUUGGAUUCAAAUACAUCAAAACGAACACCUAAUUUGAAUUUGCAUAUAAUUACAACUGCAAAUCGUCUUACCGAGGAAAAGAUUUUCAUAUAAUUCUUUUCAUGUUCUCUAAAAAUAUAUAUUUUAUGCGCGAAUAAGCUUUAAUUAGUUUCUCUCUAUGGUUUUACCACAUUUUUUACUUUGUAAUCCUGUGGUUUUACAUUGCUAUUCUAUAACUUAUCCUUGUUUUAUAGUAGGUAUCUGCUAUUAAUUAAAUAUAGCAAAAUGGUACAAACUAUAAACUAAAAAAUGGUAAGCUAAGAGCAUUCAAACAAAAUGGCAUGUCAAAAAAGAUUCUUAACCCUAGAUCCUUUACAACAACAAUCCCCAAAAAGAGAUUUUCAAAUUCAUGCAAAUUUUCAUGCCCUUACAAUUCCUAUGAACAAGAUAAUUAAAACUAUCAUCACAAUCACAAAUGCACAAUACAAACAACGCUUGUAACCACAACUAUAAUUUAUUAUUACAAAGCACAAUUCAUACUUGAUUUAUAGUUAUCAUCAUUAUUUACAUCUGCGCUAAACUCUAAGUAGAUAUAUACUGAGCUCGGGCCCACCACCCGUCCCGUCAGGGCUCAUCAUGUAGAACGCCUCCGAGUCUCUAGACCCUACUACUCUCUCAAAUUUUGCCCUCAUGUACAUCACGUCCCCUCUCUCCCCCUCCCCCUCCGCUCCUCCGGCGCACCUCCUCAGCUCCUCCCCCUCCAGCAGGCCCUCGCCGUUGAUCUCCCCCCUCACCCCCGGCCCCCACUGACACCGCCUCGACGGCCCUCAAAACGUCCUGGUCGGCGUCGCCGCACUCCCGCUGGACGGCCCUGCCACACUUUCUACCGUUGCAGUACGCCCGCCACACCGGCUCCUCUAGGAGCGGCGGCAACGGCGCCGUCGACGACGCGCGAUCACACUCAAGGGCGAUGCGCACGAGGCCUGAGGCCAUCUCGCGGACGAGGGCGGCGGUGGGGGCAGCGAGCUCGAGGAGGAGGGCCGGCGGGGUGCGGGGGUCCGCCUGGAAGGCCAAGCGGACGCGGCCCCGCCGCUGGCCGAAGAGCGUGCCGGCCACCAUCCGGGGGAGGCCGCCGAUAGGGCCACGGCUGCUCCGUCGACUCCCAGCGGCAAUUGCCGCCGCAAGAGCCGACCGGAGCCUGAGCAUCCAAGCUCCGGACGCUAAAGGCGGAAAAGAAGUGCUUCUCUUGUUUGCAGCGGUGAUGGCUAUUGCAGACUUAUGAAAGUGGUAGUAGGACGAAGAAGGGAUGGCGGUUUUAGCGGCGGCAGCUGCGGCGAAAGAAAGAGCCUCUUCCUCCCGCAAUUUCUCUUCCUUGUCUCUCUUCACUCUCUCUCCUCCUCGUCCUCCUCUCUCUUCUUCCUUGGGCAUCUUCUCGAAGUUUCUCUUGGAGGAGGGGAAUGAGGAAGGGUUGAAGCUUCUUCCCAUUAUGCUUCUCAUUAAAUUUGGAAGAGAGAGAGAGAUAGAUUGAGAGAGAGAGUUUUGGGGGGGUGGGGAUUGGUUUUAUUUGUUGUGAAUGAUGAUGAGGGGGUUUAUGUUUUUGUUUUUUUGGGGUGGUGGGGAGUGGGGGAUGAUCACAUUCCUACAUGCUUAGAAGGGCUUUUAUGAUCACCCACUGUAGCACUAGAGAGAGUGCUUUUGGAGUAAGCUGAAGCUUUAUUUUGGUGGAGCCCCACCACAAAACAAGCAUAGCAGUAAGGGGGGUGGUGACCAUACACCACCAAACUAUGAAAUGCUGGGAAAAAUGGUAAAAACACAAUGACAAGGUGGGGACAGCCCCUGAUAACUCUCUGCACGAAUCUCAAAGCCGACCAUGUUAUCCAGGACAUUAUACUGUAGUUCCAUAUACAGUUCAUUAUUCCGCAUACUCUUAUCUUAUGAUUUCAUUUUUCUCUCUCCGCAAGAUUCUAUCUGCUGCUAAAAAAUAGUGCGACAAAUACUACAAAUUUAGAACUCUACGAAAUGAAAACAAAACCACCAAACGAACAGCGAAGUGAAACAGUUUAAAACACGAGGUGACAAAGCGAAAAAUACGCUAAUAAAUCGCAGGAUUUUAUAUGCUCUGAUGGAAUGAGGGUGGGCCACAAACUGUUGAGACUGUGACUCAGUGCAGGACCAGUUAAUUAAUUGUACAGGACUGGAAAACACCUGACCCACAUCCAGAGGUCCAACACAAACUGACAUGCUCAUGUGCAUAGCCCCUUUGUGUUUAUGUUUAUGUUUAGGGUACCUCUUGAUGUUAAUGGGGGGGGAAUUAAAGAUGUUUCUGGUGGAAUCUUCUGCAAAAACUCAGAUCCCUUCUACAGUAGUUGCUUGUAACUGAAGAUCACAGAGUCAUAUGAAAUACAAGAUGCCAGUUAAUGAGAUUGAGCUUCAGUUCAUACCUCUUACCCGGCUACAGCUUCGACCGAAAGUGCUUUGGAAGUAGAGCUGUUUGAAGAAGAUUUACGAACUUUUCAUCGCCUUGUAACAGAAGCGAAAGACACGAAAAAGUUCUAGACUUUCUAUUUGCUAAACACCUAUAGGACUAUCUCGAAGAUUGCUCUUCAAAUCUAAAGAGCAAAAACUAAAUCUACGCUGCCGACUUACUCUAACAAAUUCUCCGACAUAUUCCUCUACUGUUUAGUUCUGCCUAGUAUUGCCGUACCCGCAACAUUCUAUGUGUUGCACGCCACCGUUUUCACCGGUUACGGUCUCAGCAUGCUUUACAUGCAUGUAAAAUAUAGUAGACGCGUCAUUUCCCAAUUCCGCGGCAAUCAAGACACUUCUAAGUGUGGCAUGAUAAUGUUCUAAGAAGAACCUUCUCAUCUUCAAAUUGUGCAGCAUACGAAAAUAUAACUACUGUGUGUUCUAAGUACAGAUACUGAGGUUGUGUUGGUUUCUCUAACACCGAAGAAUAAAUUUGAUUGUUAUCACCAAAAAGUCAAAAACAUCCCUAAUAUAAGAAGGAUUUUAUGUAACAAAAUUACUACGAGUUCACCAUCUCAAGCAAUGAAUUCUACAGUGACAUAAUUAACGAAAUAUGCAGCAUGUUUACAGCAGUAAACUCAGUGUCUUUCAAUUCAUCGGCAAUAAAUGAGGUUUUCCAGUAUACAGAGGAAAUGACUUCAUAGAUACGGAAAUAAUUAGAUAAAAGGUUAUAUCAGGCGGUGAAUUUUAUAGAAAAAAGCCGUAUAUUUGGUAGCAGAAGCACUUCACCUUCUACGAUUCCGACGUUGAUCUUGCCGGUCCCUUGGUUGGUGCGAGGACCCGUCCCUGCUCGUGCUGUACGAACUCUCAUGCUUCCAAUCAUCAAGGAUCAAACUAUUGUGUUGUGGUGACUGCCUAGCCGACGGGUGUGGGUAGGGGCUGCGAGGACUCUGGACCGGAGGAGAAAUAUUAUCACAAGCCCCCGGGCUUCUCCACCCUUUCUCGGAAAGUGACCUCCCAAGGCUCGAGGUCCUAGAGCUAGGGUUUUGCUCAUAAGGACUAUACCGAGGAGAGUAGGCUGAGCUACUGUGCCCUAUCUCUGCACCCGGUAGGCCCUCUUCGCGGUGAUGCUCCCCAGGGCGCCACCUGUCCCAACUAGAUAAAGAUAAACAGCUAAAUUUGUAAUGGUAUAAGGCUGCUGAAGGGUGGAAGGGCAUAAUUGUAAUUUUAUAUAAUUUUAGACUUCCUUGAUAGGGUGCUGCUCAUAAGGUAUAUACCUCGAAGAGUAGGAUGGCAAUGAGGGUGCGUUUCUGCGCCCUGGCUCUGCACCAAGUAGGCCCUCAUCGUGCUGGUUGCCGGACCGCCGUCUAUGCGAUUCUGAUAUGCGGUGGUGGGAUUGCGAUCGGGCCGCCCAGAGCCACUGAUCAGCAUUCUCUGGUAUCGGGGCGUUGAUUCCAGGGAACUCAACCGUCAUUAUGGUCUCGGGGGAUAUGGGCUCGCCUUUCUCAGGGAGCUCCCCCUCUUCAUAUUCUUCCUUCUCUUCCUCGCCGUCAGCAUAUAUCUUGAUCCCGGAAGGCUGGUCUUCGUUCUCAACAACAGCUGGAGAAAAGGAAUAAGUUGAUGAAGUCCAGAAUCAGAAUAUUUUAGCAGUUGAAUUGGACAUAAAAAGCUAAUGGAGGAAUAGGCGUGCAGAAACCAAGAAAACUACCAUGAGAUUGGAAAUGGCUAUUGCUUUGUUCUCUUGAGCUUUAAAAACCAAUUUUGUAACAACCUUGAUUUGUUAAGCCAAUAUCACUUUGCGCACUACUUAGUAAGUUAGAAAUAUGAUAAAUAAUUUAGAACAAAUAUGAAAUUCUGAAAACUUCCAUUCUUCUUUCCUAAUCCCUUUCAUUCCUAAGAAGGGUGUUUUGAUAAUUCACAUUUUAUCAAACAUUUUCUUAUCUUUUAAAGAGGACUGACAGAGGGUUGACGGAGAAUUGAAGUGAUGACAGCUUUUAAAAUAAAGGGGGUAAUAUAUAGGUUGUAAAAAUUCACGCGGUCCCGUACAACAUCCCAACUAACUUUUACUAACUUUUAACAAAUUUUAUAAUUAUGAAUAUUUUAAGAAAAAAAUUAUCAAACAGAUAAUAAUUUUAGCACUAAAUUAAAUUUAUUGAAAUACAACAUGUUUAGUAAAAUAUUGGUAGAUAAUGAAUUGGUAUAGUUUUUUCACAGUACGAUGCGUACUCAUGUGAGAGUAUGAUUAAUGAUGAUUAGCCUUUCACUAGAUCCACCUAUUCAGAUGUAUACUAAAAAUAGCAGAAAACCAGUCUGACGUUGAAUUUGUUGAUAAGCAUAGAAAGCACAAUGGUAUAUCAAAUUUUCUGAGUAGGCAUAACAACAUUAAAUUUGGGUAACAAAUGAAUCUAGGAAGAAAUACAUAGACCAAGUUUAACAUACCUAAAUAUCCAGGAGGGUACCCUAGCUCACGCAUUCGGCUCAACCAAGGGGGUGGAUCAUUUUCCUGCAUGACAUGGUAAAUAAGUUGCAGCUAAAAAAUAUAUAUAUAUAUAUAUACUGUGAUUUGAACUAUACUCAUCUUACAGAUUCAAUAGCCUCAAAUAAAUGGCAUUUUGUUCACGGAUUGGUUUGUUUACAAAAACAUGAUUUAAAGAGCAAAAAAUUGCCAUUCGGUCAUGUGCUACAAGCAAGCUAGCAUCUUUUACAUCACACUCUUUUUACAACAAUUAACUGUGUAGCAGGCAAUUCCAAGCAGCCAAUUGCAGGCAUUGCAAAUGGAGGACAAAAUAUAAUAGAAAAGUAAGAUGUCGAUUACCCUGAUCCCCAAGCAUUCUCUGGUCUCAGGGCCAAGAACUCCUGCUUUCAAAUCAUCAAACUUCCCGGUUGUUUUCUGAUAAUACCGGGUUUGGCCACGAUUACUGGCAGAUUGGUUUCGUUUUGCAUUGUGCUGCCUCCGGGCUUUACUAAUCGCAGCAUUGUCGCGAGGCUUUGGGCACUCCUUCACAGAGUGACCAUACGAACCGCAAUUGAAACAACGUGAAUCUUCUUUUUCAACCCUGCCAACAAAACAAAACAUUCUAUCUUGUAGCUAGUUCAAGGAAUAGAGAAGACUUUUGAGAGAGGGGGGGAGAGAGAGAGGAGCAUGACAGCGUAGACCAACGAGAGUUGAUGUUCAAUCUAAGAAUAUAUAUUCAGACACUCUAGGUAAUUAUUGAUUCGAAUUGUUGGUAUAAUUAGGAUAUAAAAGCCACAUAGCCAAUCUUUUGAAUCUUAAGUAUCUGACUUAUGCUCGAACCAUUUUGAACUAGUGCCACCACAAAAAGGGAAGGAAAAAAGCCAAAAAAAUAGAAUAAAUUGGUCGUCAAUAGUGUAUACUUUAGUUUACUGUAUCUUCCCUAUCUAGAUACUGUAACAAAGAAAGCAUGUAAAAUCUACACUGCCAACGGGAAGAAAAUGAAGCACCAUGUGUAGAUUGAUUGAAGUUAUAGAAAUUGCUCUAGUUUCAACAGCAAUAUAUCAUUGUGAAAUGCAUAUGUGACAUUGAAAGAAAAAUUUUAGAACAUUAUAUGCAUAUCAGCACAGUGCCUAUGCAAGAACUCUCUUGUGAGUAAAGAAAAGGUUUUACCUUUCAAAGCUAGCUGAACCAUCAAGUGAAGUUGAAGCCAAUGCAUAUUCACGAUCAUAAAGAGGAACCGAGUCAUUGCCCUUAACAACACCUUCUCUUGCUUGGUUGUCUAACCAAAAUGACUUCAUGCCAUCAAAGAAAAAGAAGAAAAGUGAAAAGAAGAGAUUGUAAAUGUUAGAGGCCCACGAGCAACAGCUAAGAGAACUUUAAAACAGAAUUCAAACUAACACACAAAAGGCUUCAUCUUGAAGACACCAUUAUGCAUUCUGCAUAAUAGUGUGCAUGCAAAGCGAAUUAGAAUCUAAAAGAGAAAUACUUGCAUCCACUAAAUGUCCAUUCUGAUUUUUCAUUCUCUAUAUUUUCCACUAAAUAUACUAGUCCUCGUUUAAACCCUCUCUCAUAUUUGCACCUUAAGUCACAAGAAAAUAGGUUAAUGUAGACAAAGCAGAAAUAGCAUGUUUUAUUAUCUUUCACCAGCAACAUAAAAGAAUAACGGAACUCCAAAAGAAACAUAUAAUACAAAACAAGAGGCAAAAAUGAAGGGGGGUCAUUUCUGUAGUAAAAGGAGAUAUAGAUGAAGAAUUUAUUGCCCAAAAAGAUCUGGAGCAGCCUACAAUUCACUGAAACAGAAGAAACUAUAAAUGACAGAUACAAUGCUGCUUGUUAUUCACUAAAAAGGAAGAUAGAAGAGAUGACAUACUUAAGAUUGACAAAAUCUUUCAAGCUUAAAUUCAUUUGUUCAGUGAAUAGAUCCAUGCAAAUUACCCGAUACAAACAUACCACAGUAGAAGAUUUCUCAGAGACCAGAUGUAGUGCUGGAAAGUACGUCUCUUCACCGCUCUCCAAGGGCUCCAUUGUGGAAUCCUAUCAACCAUCCGCAACGACAUAUUCAUUCGAACAUCAGUACAGUAAUGAAACUGAAGUUCACUAUCACCCAUCAUAUAGUAACACAUGAAAAUGAUUCCUUUAUCUUCCCUUCUUGUUCCUCUUAAUCCGUAUUAAAAUUUAACCAUUCCGAAGAUCAAAUAGGAUAAGCAGCGAUAAAUAACUGUUAAAGUCUUUAGUAACGAAAAUCUUUAAAUGCUAAAUUCUUUAUAUAUGGUUUCUGCAACAGGAAUUGUAAUGAUUACAUUCGCUGGCCAGCUGCAGGUGAUCUUAUAGGGUAUUAUAGGUGCAUUAUACACUACUUAAUGUUUAAAAUGUUCCGCCAGCAGCGAAAGGAGGUAGUAAUAUUCUAUGAUUUGGUAGAAUAGCAAAACAGCUUGAGACUCAUUUUAUACUUCCUGGUUUCCACUAUUUAAGGCAAUAAGCUGUGAACAUUCGAUAAUUAUCUCCCUUUCCCUCUAAAGAGAAGUCUUUAACAGAACCAAAAAAAUUCAAAGAAAAUCUAGAAUAUCAUAACUCAAGGGAUUCAAAAUGCAACAAAAAUAUUACUUUUGUAGAAGACUGGUACUGUGCUUGCCACUCCGACCAUACUUGCAUGAGUUCAGUAAGCUUUCUUUUGCUUUCUCUGGAUCAUAAUAGACUAACUCAUUAGACAAAUGGCAAGCUCUUGUAACAAUAUAAAGUUCGAGAUAUAUUUAUAUGUGAUAAGAUACUUAUUCUGAACCAACCUUGCCAAUGAGCUGUAAAUUACACGUACUGAGGGUUGUUUAUCAAUAGAUGUUACUCGAGCUCUUUUUAUUCCUGCUAUAGCUAGCGCUCUAUAUUAGGGAAGGACAAGGAUACAAGUAUAAAACUUAUCCAAGUCAAGAAAAGACACACAAAGAAUUCAUUUCAUUCAUUUGCCAAAUAAUGUUGAUUUAGAUAAUUAAAACCAAUUACCUGUAGAAGUUGUGCCAGAUAAUUCUCCCUCCAGUGAUGUACUUAUUUGGGAGGCAAUACAUGAUACAAAAAGAGGAAUAUAGAAAAGGAUACGUCUAUCAUCAAUCAAAAGACUGUUAGAAGUGCUGGUCACAGUAGCAACAAACUGAACACUUUCUUGAAUGAUGGGUUGUUUCUCAAUGAUAUCAUCUUCGAGAUCCAUAUCCUGCUCAUGUUGGUUUUCUUCAGCUUCAAAGCUCCCUUCAGAAUUCUUUACACUCUCCCUAUUAGGUAAGUCCUCUUUCAAUUGAGGUGUACUGGUUGGCGAAUUAUUUUCACGAAGACCCAACCCCAAUCCUUGUCCACCAUUUUCUUUGUCAGUCUCGCUGUUGUCGCAAGACGAAUCGAGAUUGAUGAAAUCAUCUUCUUUCAUAUUUUCUUAGAUGUUUUGAACUUUUGAUCUACGAGCUCCUUCGAUCAAUAAACAUCGACACGAGGGAACGAAAGCAAAUGGCACGGGAGGCUUAACAUUUCAUCAAACACCUUACCUACAUGGAUGAAAUAAUCAAUUUCCCAUGUUACAGAGAACUCAAGACCAUAAAUCUCUCAACAUUUAUCAUUCUUCUAUACUAAUCCUAAGAAAAGCAUUAAAAAAUAUAUAUAUGUUUUCCCUAACUUUUUCUUGCUCACAAAUUAGUAAGCUCUCCACAUUUUAGACCACAUUUCAGAUUAACAAACAGCAAAAUGACAUUUCGUCAAACACCUUACCUACAUGAAUGGAAUCAUCAAUUACAAGUUACGGCAAUCUCAACUUUUACAAUUUUUUAAUACUAAUUCAAAGAAAACUUUAAAAAAAGAAGUUUUUUUUUUUUUUUUUUUUUUUUUUUUUUUAGCUAAUUGACUAACUCUUGCUCCAAAAUUCCCAAUUUUCCACAUUAUAGACCACGUUUCAGAUUAAAAUAAAAACAGUAAAACAAUACACAAGAACACAAAUCGAAUGCAGUGGUACACCAAUACGCUCCAAAUUUCUCAUCCUCCACAACUCUUCCUACACUAUUCCCAAUAAAAGUAUUUUUUUAAAGAAAAAAGAGAGCCUUUUUUUUUAUCUCAUAGAUCACCAACUCUUGCUCUAAAACUCACAAUUGAAGACCAUGUUUGAGACGAAGAAACACUAAAAUUGUAUGCACGAACACAAAUUGACUGCAAUGGUAGCAGUAAGCGAUCUCUCCCGCCGCUCCACCAUCCCAUCCGAAACGAGAGGAGAGUGGGAGAGAUUUAGGGUUUUCGACAGAGCAAAAACUUGUAAGAGGCGAUCUCCUUACCGAGAAGGGCGAUGGCGAGGACGAAGAGUGGUGGGAUGAGGGAGGGGAUUUAGAGAGAGAGAGAGAGAGAGAGAGGGAUUUGGAUUUGGAUUUGGAUUUGGAUGCGAAACCUUGUCCGAGGAGGGGUGGGGGGAAGGAGAGUACGGAUUCUCUCUAAUGUACACAAUUUGUAGACCAUGUGUACCACGUCAGCAUUUGCAGUGGCCAAUGGAAGAACAGGAUCCGAGUGAGUGUUGGUGCACCGAGUCUAGGAACGUUUGUCAAAAUCCAAGGUGUACCACGUGUACGGAUCCCACACAAUUUGUAGACCAGGUGUACCACGUCAGCAUUUGCAGUGGCCAAUGGAAGAACAGGAUCGGAGUGAUUGUUGGUGCACCGAGUCUAGGAGCGUUUGUUCAAUCCAAGGGGGAGAGAGAUGAAGCGAUUUUUAACAAUAAAAGCCCACUUUUAUUAUUCACUAGUGAAAUACCCGCGCGAUACUGUAGGUAUAAAAAUAUUUUUAUAAUAAUUUUUAGUUUUUUAUUUUUUAUAUAAUUUUAUAAGUCUAAUUAUUAAUUAAAUAAAGUUAUAUGAAAAUCAUUUAAUAGCGAUGAUGCGGAUAUAAAAAUAUUUUUAUAAUAACCUUUAGUUUUUUAUUUUUUAUAUAAUUUUAUAAGUCUAAUUAUUAAUUAAAUAAAGUUAUAUGAAAAUCAUUUAAUAGCGAUGAUGCGGAUAUAAAAAUAUUUUUAUAAUAACCUUUAGUUUUUUAUUUUUUAUAUAAUUUUAUAAGUCUAAUUAUUNUUCGUCAAACACCUUACCUACAUGAAUGGAAUCAUCAAUUACAAGUUACGGCAGUCUCAACUUUUACAAUUUUUUAAUACUAAUUCAAAGAAAACUUUAAAAAAAAAAUUUUUUUUUUUUUUUUUGCUAAUUGACUAACUCUUGCUCCAAAAUUCCGAAUUUUCCACAUUAUAGACCACGUUUCAGAUUAAAAUAAAAACAGUAAAACAAUACACAAGAACACAAAUCGAAUGCAGUGGUACACCAAUACGCUCCAAAUUUCUCAUCCUCCACAAUUCUUCCUACACUAAUCCCAAUAAAAGUAUUUUUUUAAAGAAAAAAGAGAGCCUUUUUUUAUCUCAUAGAUCACCAACUCUUGCUCUAAAACUCACAAUUGAAGACCAUGUUUGAGACGAAGAAACACUAAAAUUGUAUGUACGAACACAAAUUGACUGCAAUGGUAGCAGUAAGCGAUCUCUCCCGCCGCUCCGCCAUCCCAUCCGAAACAAGAGGAGAGUGGGAGAGAUUUAGGGUUUUCGACAGAGCAAAGACUUGUAAGAGGCGAUCUCCUUACCGAGAAGGGCGAUGGCGAGGACGAAGAGUGGUGGGAUGAGGGAGGGGAUUUAGAGAGAGAGAGAGAGAGAGGGAUUUGGAUUUGGAUUUGGAUUUGGAUGCGAAACCUUGUCCGAGGAGGGGUGGGGGGAAGGAGAGUACGGAUUCUCUCUAAUGUACACAAUUUGUAGACCAGGUGUACCACGUCAGCAUAUGCAGUGGCCAAUGGAAGAACAGGAUCGGGGUGAGUGUUGGUGCACCGAGUCUAGGAACGUUUGUCAAAAUCCAGGGUGUACCACGUGUACGAUCCUCUCAAUGCACACAAUUUGUAGACCAGGUGUACCACGUCAGCAUUUGCAGUGGCCAAUGGAAGAACAGGAUCGGAGUGAUUGUUGGUGCACCGAGUCUAGGAGCGUUUGUUCAAUCCAAGGUGGAGAGAGAUGAAGCAAUUCUUAACUAUAAAAGCCCACUUUUAUUAUUCAUUUCCCGUGUCGAUCGAAACUCAAACUCAAUGAAAAUAUCGUAAUAAAUAACAAAUUAUGAAUGCUAAACCUCUCCGACGAGCUAAAACUGAACAUCUACAACAAUAUUUUGAUCUUCAAACUAUAAUGCAGGUGACAAUUUUGUUGCUUAUAUUUCAGGCUAAAUUACAGAAAAUCUUCCUGUAAUAACCUGCUUUUUUACUUUCUCCUUCUGACAUUUAAAAACCUACACUUUGUUCCCUUGUAAAAUAAAAAAUGUGCACUUCACUCCCUACCGAUAGGGUUUCGUUAGGAUUCCGUUAUAAAAUAUUUUUUAUGCCGAAAAUAUCCCUCCGCCCUCUUUCUUGUUGCUUCGCCUCCCUCCGACUCACCGCCUCGCCGUCCUCCACUGCCUCGCCCUCGCCCACAUCCCCUUCGCCCUCCUCCGCCGCCUCGCCUUUGCCCUCGUUGCCCUUGCCUACCUCUCCAUCAACACCCACCUCAAUUUCCUCCCUACUACCGUCGAAAUCGAGGGACGACGAGGGUGCAGGAGGAGAAGGGUAGCAGGUGGAGAAGGAAAUGGAGAAAAAUCGCGACCGAUUGAGGUGGAAAUCGCUGCCGAUCGAAGGGGCUGCUGAAGAAGAUGAGGAAGAAGACGAAAAUGGCGAGGAACAAAAUAAUCAUUUUACACACCGUAAUUCCCAUGUGAACAUUUUUCAUUUUACAAAGAAGCAAAAUGUAAAUUUUUAAAUAUCAGGAGUGGAAAGUGAAAAAAGAGAUUAUUACAUGAGAAUUUUUUGUAAUUUAGCCUAUAUAUUUUAAUUUAUCAUAAUUUCUGACUUAAAAUUUAGAUUGUUGCAACUAAAUUUUAUAGCCCAAAUAGUGACAUAUUGCGAUUACUAAUAUUAGUUAUUAUCAGUUCAUCAACCACAGCACUGCUACGUUACUUUUAUAUCAACAAUACAUGACCUUUCAUUCAAAACUUACAACAAAUUAAAAUUUUGAAGAUCAAAAUUAUAAUUCGAGGGCUUUUCCAAAAAGUGUAGUUUAACCUAAAACAAAGAGAUAAAUAAAGUGUAAAGAGAAUCUAAGGCCACCAUUCAAUGAUAUNGGACACGUGUCACCCCAUGGUCCCCCCCAUGGUCCUCCCAAACCCUUCUUUAAUGUAGUAGUAUAGAUUUUCCGUGUCGAUCGAAACUCAAACUCAAUGAAAAUAUCGUAAUAAACAACAAAUUAUGAAUGCUAAACCUCUUCGACGAGCUAAAACUGAACAUCUACAACAAUAUUUUGAUCUUCAAACUAUAAUGCAGUGACAAUUUUGUUGCUUAUAUUUUAGGCUAAAUUACAGAAAACCCCUCUGUAAUAACCUGCUUUUUCACUUUCCCCCCCUGAUAUUUAAAAACCUAUACUUUUUCCCCUUGUAAAACGAAAAAUAUGCACUUCACUCUCUACCGUUAGAGUUUCGUUAAGGUUCCGUUAUAAAAUAUUUUUUUAUGCCGAAAAUAUCCCUCUGCCCUCUUUCUUGUUCCCUCGCCUCCCUCCGACUCGCCGCCUCGCCGCCUCGCCAUUCUCCACUGCCUCGCAAUCGCCCACAUCCCCUUCGCCCUCCUCUGCCGCCUCGCCUUCGCCUUCGUUGCCCUUGCCUACCUCUCCAUCAACAUCCACCUCGAUUUUCUCCCUACUAUCGUUGAAAUCGAGAGGCGGCGAGGGUGCAAGAGGAGAAGGAGAGCAGGUGGAGAAGAAAAUGGAGAAAAAUCGCGGCCGAUUGAAGUGGGAAUCGCUGCCGAUCGAAUGAGCGGCUGAGGAAGAUAAGGAAGAAGACGAAAAUGGCGAGGGGCAAAAUAAUCAUUUUACACACCGUAACCCCUAUGUGAACAUUUUUCAUUUACAAAGAAGCAAAAUAUAGAUUUUUAAAUGUCAGGAGAGGAAAGUGAAAAAAGAGAUUAUUACAUAAAAGUUUUUUGUAAUUUAGCUUAUAUAUUUUAAUUUAUCAUAAUUUCAGACUUAAAAUUUAGAUUGUUGCAACUAAAUUUUAUAGCCCAAAUAGUGACAUAUUGCGAUUACUAAUAUUAGUUAUUAUCAGUUCAUCAACCACGGCACUGCUACGUUACUUUUAUAUCAACAAUACAUGACCUUUCAUUCAAAACUAACAACAAAUUAAAAUUUUGAAGAUUAAAAUUAUAAUUCGAGGACUUUCCAAAAAGUGUAGUUUAACCUAAAACAAAGAGAUAAAUAAAGUGUAAAGAGAAAAUCUAAGGCCACCAUUCAAUGAUAAUACAGAGAAAAGAUUACAUUACACACAAAAUUUACUAAUCGAGGGGAUCAUAACUACACACUGAUAUGCAAAAUUGCAGCAGGAAUUUUCGAACAUAAAACAUUCCUGCCGCAGAACCCUAUUUACUGUGCUCACAUAAACAUGAACACAACACUAUCUAUUGCUCUUCUCCAAUUUUUUUGCUGUAUUAUUUACACGGAUGGGCGUCUUCGCGCUUCGAAUUUCACUUAGCCGCCGCUCUUAUUUACAUUCUCUUACUAAACCCAGCGGCACGAAGCCGCAUUGAGAACAUCGCGAGAGAUAUUCGGGCAAGUACGUGUCUUUAAUGGGUGUCUCGGUGCUUCUGUGGAAGAACAGCGGAAUCGCUGCAUCGCAUCUUCCAGAAGGUUCCGUGCCGCUGAUGUCAAAUCCAGGAGAUACCACUGUACAAUGGCGACACGAGAACCAUGAAAUUAAUUCGGAUAGUUUUAAAGAAGUUUAAGAUUUUAUCACUUAACAGUAGCUGAUUACUGAAACAGGUUUACGCAAAGAGGCUAUUUAUGUAAAGAAUUCAUACCGUAAUUCUGAACAUUCCACCAUUUUUUUUGCGGCAUUCUCAACGCGAAACCCUCUCAGAAACCGAGCGAUCCGAGCCCUGAAGCAGCAUCGAAGCAGAGCUGCAAACAAAAUAGCUUCUUCAAGUAGCUCAAUCCUGGACUAAAUGGCUUCUAGCCUUACUGCUGCUUUUGUGAAAACAGAUAAAAGAAAUGGCGCUUCUUCCCCGGGUUGGAUAGUCGUCGGCACUAUAGUAUAUCCCUUCGGAUAGGGCUCCAAAACUAGUUCACACGAUAUUUCUCUCGAGUUCACAUAAUCCGUUCCACCGACCGAUUCAUGCAAAUAGAUAUUAUAUGCAGCUCGAUGGCCCCUCGUUUUAAGUAUCCUCAUUCCGAUGUAAAACAUGGACGAAUCAUGACUCGAUUGAUAGUUCCUGAAACCGCUUGCCUUUCUGGAGAAACUUACACCCUGUAUACAGUUUUAGUAAGAGCCCGAUCAGAUUCUCGAAUAAUUGGAGAUGAAUUAUAGGGAAAUUUAUAUGCCAAACCCCUAACUCUUCAUACAAAUCUCAAACUUCUAAGCUUUUCUUAGAAGCCUUUAAUGAGAAUCAUUUGACGGAAACUAAGAAUAUUGUGUUAGCGAUUUCUGUCGCUUUAUAACACUCUGCAAUUGACAACAUAUAAAUUGUGGGAUUUAGAUGUGCAUAUUAUAUUCAAGGUGUUAACCCAUAAUAAAGAGAGAAGUUACAACUGCUAUGUUUGGUUUCGGAAUAAGCCAGAGAACAAAAAGUUUAUCCUCUCUAUUCCACCAAACAUUGUAAAAAAAUGGUCGGAAUAGUUAUCCCGGGAAUAACUGUUCAACCUUUCUAGAGGAAUAGGACUAUUUUCUCAUAUUUAUACUCAGCUUAUUAAAGAUAAUUAAAGUAAUAUAAAAUAAUGGUUAUAUACUGAAAAAAUUAUGGUUAGAUUCUGCUGGAAGAUGGACUUUUUCGAAAGAACAAAUUAGGAUCCUCAUGUAGAGUUUCGAAUUUAAUUGAAUGAGAAAUUGGUCUGAAAGAAUACCUGGGUUAGGGUUAUAAACACGUGAACGGGAAGUGAUGCAUCGGGGCCCAUUACACGAAGCCGGAAUUGCGGGUUUUGAUGCCAUGAAUCGUAAUCCUGGCAGCCGCCGGCAGUAGAGCCCCGCCACUGGCCGUGGAUUGUAUAGCGCAUCUCAGGCGGGUAGACACGGCAUAUGUAUAUAGAGCGGAAGUGGAUCUGAAAGUCUUGCCAUGACAUCCAGAAUAUCCCGUCCUUCGACUGCCGAAUAAAAGAAUCAAGUUACAAUGAUGCCAAGUGCAAUAUAUUUCACAAUAUCUGAAACAGAAAUAGCAGGACUCAUUACCUGAGGAACAUGCUUCAGCUUAUGCUUCAUUCGGUCGGUCCACUCGGCCGACGAGUCUGACCAAGGCCCAUUCCACUCGACCUCGUUCGCCCAUGGAUUUCGGAUCUGAACAAGCUUGUGGCCAUCAACUUCUCUAACCUGAAUCACCAAUUUAUUUAAACGAAGAAGAUAAGGCAACAUUACCACCUUCCAUCAGAACCUUUUGUAACUUUUUUCACAGAAUAUUCUUUUACAUGAUUGUACUUAAGAUUUUUUUUUUUUUUUCUUUGAUGGAAACCAUUAAAUUCCAAUAGAACUUGACGAAGACUAGAUACAGAAAUGUAUAGUUUUAACAUUCAAGUACCUAUUUCAAGCCGUGCAAUAGUUUAGGUAGUGAUUUUACAUUUUUCACCUUCAUAGAAUUUAGUCAAGAAAGACCAACAAAAACACAGCUUCUACCUGCAAUAUCGAGUAAGCAUGGCCUUGCACGAUGCCGCUUGAUGAGAUGUGCACAUCAGAGCCAGAUGGGCUCCCCGCACCGAGCAAAAAUCCUUCUUGCUUAAAAUGCAACAUCUGGGACCAUAAUCGUCCGCUAGCCAAAUCAAUUUGAGCUUGAGCGCUCCUCAUAUCAAUCUCUUCUCCGGCCCCACCGGUUAAAUCGACGAGGGCGUCUUGUACAAGCCCGCCUUCUAACGCUUCAUAAGAGCCAUGAAGUUUGGCGUAAGCCUUUUCGAGGAUAGAUACCCAAAGUUCGUUGCGCUUCUUACUAGUGGCGAAUGCAGGUUUCCCGGGGGACUCGCAAGGAAUCCAAUCGUCAACUACCACAGGGACCCACUCACCCUGCAUAAAAAAAUAUGUAGACUUUGUAAGGAAGCAGUACUUGGAUGUGUAAUUGAAAAGGAAACUAACCUUAGGGCUAGUAUUUUGUACUCUUAUUCUUCGAAACAAUAACAAACUUCCACGUGAAAAUUUAAGAAGUAAACCCAUUCAAUUGGGAAUGUUUCCAGCAUUAGUCGCAGUUAAUGAUAAGGAGAAGCAAAAAUAUAGCUUAAAACACUGGUCACAUUACCAGCUAAAGGCGCAGCAUACCCUAAGACAUUACAAUUUUAUCUCUUAACCACUCGACAAUCUUUAUUGUCUUCUUUUACAUUAUAAAUAAGUGCAAAAAAUAAAGAAAAUCAGCUAGUAACGACAUUAUAUGAGAAAACAAAAGAAUGUGUUUCACAUUGUUGCUUCUUUUUAUGUCACUCAUAAACACUUUCAACUACAAUUCAAAACGCAACUUUUAUACCUGAAUACAGAAGCGUACAGUGUAAAUUCCCUCUUCAUUAAACUCUGGAGUGAUUAUAACUUCUGAUAUACGGGACUCCUCAGUUAGCACGGCAACAGCACUUAAAAACCAGCAGUCACCUAACCUACCCUGCAAACAUGGAAAAAUAUGCAGGUGAGUAUAGAGUCGAGAAUGACGCCCGCUAUCCACCUAUUAGGUCCAUCGCAAAAUGUUUAGGGAAGGGCAUUUAAUGGAAAAGUGGCUUUUAAAUGUAUAUGUCCGUGCAAAAAACAUUCGUUUAUCUACAUACCUCUAUAAAAAAAAUUGACUUGUUCAUCAUCUAUACUAACCAAUUGGGCAAAAAAUGCUAUUCUUUAGGAGUCGUUCAAUUCGUUUAAAGAGUGGAAUUUCACAAGCACAAUGAUAUGGCAAGAAGUUAAAUUUUUAACAGAAUAUAUGAAAUUCAGAUUUGCAGGGAUAAACAUCUGUAAUAAUAUUGGAGGGAAAUAUAUGCUUUGUAUCCUAUUAAAACAGAAGGGAAGAUGCAUAAUUGUCUUCACAUACAACAACUAGAAAGUGUUGAAGGCAGGAAAAGGGGAUAUCGAUACCUGACAAACAUCCGAGGAAUUCACAGUACCAGAAUAUAAGCAGGGUUGAAAGCCAACACCACACUCUUUCACAAUAUCAAUCGGCCUGGUCCACUCGGAAACAACCUAAGGUAGUAAAUGAUAGAUAACUACAAGUCAAACAACAAACUUCAUAUUUAAUGUUAUCUAUUAAUCAAAAAUAGGUAGCAAAAGGAAAAGGCUAUAUCACAAAAAACACCAAUUCCUUAACAACUAGCUCAUCCGACAUUGCUAUUUGCUCGUCUCGAAUACGUCCUAAAAUUUAGGAUAAUGUUCGAUUCAAAUGCAAAACUUCACGACAACAAGGUGGCAUAUAAUGUAGGUUCUAUAUGUAAACACGUAUGUUAUUUGCAGUAAAUAAUAAUAAUAAUAAUAAUAAUAAUAAAAUCUAAAAGAAAAAGAGAGAGAGAGAGAGAGAGAUGGUCUUCUUCACUGGAGAAUAGAGCUACAAAACGGGCAGUUUAGAGGGCUCUAUGUUCAGGUAAUGUGAUUCUUUUCUAUUGAGUAUAACAAAAUAUUAUUACAGGUGAAAGUGCAGGGGUGGUUUAUUGUAGACAGCUCAUGAGAAUGUUACAUGCCUGCAGUUUUAGAGGCGGGUUCCCUGGAUCAACAUAUAAAGAUCGAUCAUUUGGAGGGAACUCCUGAUCGGUGAACUGAGUCUCCCCUUUUGUUAAAAGGGCUUCUCUAACAGCCCUUUCGACAGAUAACAUCCGUUGAUUAACUUCCUCUUGUGAUUCAAACCACUGUUUCCUCAAUUUUCUAGAAAAGGAAUCUAUAUCGAUAGCUAUUCCUUCGCGCCCCGACCUCCUUUUUCGCCCACUUGAGUAUUGCCCGUCCCAGUCUACAUCCUCCCUAUCAUACAAUUCAACUUCUGCUUCUUCACUUCCCCAGUCCUCCACCUGAAAGGCAAAAACAGUGCAGACAAAGAAAAUAAAAAUAAUAAAAAAAAAGAACCACUAGACUUGUCGGAAAUAGCCUGAAUGUCUCCAAAAUCCAGCAUAUUUGCAUAUUCAUUUCUGCAAUUUUAACUUUUAUCAUACUCUACACAAAAUUUUACCAUUAAAAUUUGAUCUUUUCAUCUAGAUGAUUGUUUUACCCUUUCAAACAUAUCACUCCAUGAUUUUUGAACUGUCACUCUACUUCCCAACUUUUUUAGUCUUCUCUGCCAUGUCACCCAAUGUGAUUCAUAAAUCAAAAAUAUUUUUUUCCUGCUCAAAUUUGACUGGAAAAAUUUUAUAAGAGCAAAUUUAAAUGGCCAUUUAAAAAAUGAUUUAGAUAAAACACAGUCAAAAGUUAAAGGGCCAUUUACAUUUGCCAAUUCAGAGGAACAAUGUAUGAUAAACUUAGAAACACAUUUUUAAACCUACAGGUAUAAAUUUAUUAUUUAAUGUCUACAACUGCACCUAAAACUGAAAAUCAUCAAAUAAUAAUUUCUCAGAAGCGUUAACGUUCAUACCCUCAAAGGUGAAUCGAUUCCAUUCCAUCCAUCUUCCCCAAGAUCAAUCAAGCCAUAAUCUCCCGCACUAGUAGAAGCAUGAAAUGCAGCAAUCUCAUCCUCACUCAGGCAUCUCCCCCAUAAGAAAGCAUCCAUUAUUUGCAUUUUGGAAUCCGCACCUUCACUAUCCGACCGUCCGAAAGCAUCUAAAUCAGUUGGUGGUCGAGCGCCAACCCAGAUAUCGGUUCCAGGUUCCCAUAUGCCACUUCUUUGAAGUGGUAGUGCACCCUGAUACCCAUCAAACCCUCCAUCUACGAAGGAAGUUGCCUCACCUAGAUCAGCAUCUAAAGUUAUAGUAACAGUAUGCCACCUGCAAGUAUGAACAUGUACAUUAACUAGAGGACAUAGAUAGUGAAAACCACAAAAGCAUUUCCGACAAAUCAACAUUUUUCAGUAAACAGUUUGCCACAGAGAUAAUUAUGUAUAUAUCACUGCAAAAUCUUAUAUUGUUGGUACAGCAGCGAGAAUAUUUUAAAUCACACAUAGCGCCGUUGAGAGGUGCAGUUUCUUGAAAAAGUAAAUACCCUUGUCUUUAAGGGGAGAAAAUAAGUUGUAUAAACAGGGUUUUAUAAAGAGGUGCACUUCUGCAUGUCAACAAGAGUAUAUCAACAAGAGUAUAUAGUAAGAGAUUAGCUUUUUGAAGGGCAAAUACGAAAUUUAAAUUUUGCAGGAAUAUACAUUUACAAGAGGCAAUUUUGCAUGAAUAUAUAUGAGAGUAUUAUUUUAUAAUAUAAAAUAUACAAUAAAGCAAGAAGUGGGGCCAAAUGUCGCAAUAACAGUAGUUACCUUCCAUCUGCGAUGCUCGAAGCGCCUAUAUUCCACUCCUUAGCAACAGUAGUCAGUCUAUCACCUUUUGUAACCAAGCGGAGGCCAACCUGCCCGGCCUCAAUACCUUGUUCGGAACCAGCCACAAGGAUUUCCCAACAAACCUUCUUUUGAAACUCAGUUCCUAGAAGACAAACAGGACCUGAUUCUGGUUGCACCAUGACUGCGAUCGAAAAGCUGAUUUUUUGGGUUCGACAGAUAGUAGGAUCGAUUUCUCCACAAUGCCUUCCAGUACUUCUAGGUUCAUCAUCAAGGACACAUACUGCGCCUGGGAUGCCGGUCUGUUGAAUAUUAUAUGCUAACAAAUUAGAAAAAUCAUCAUGUAAAAGAGUACCUAACAACUGAAAUUAGAGGGUCAAUUACAAAUUUAGUAACUACGGUUGGAUAUCGAUUUCAAUUUCAUCCUCAAAAUUUCAAUUUGAUAACAAUUUAAUCACCGAAAUUUGCUCCGCAUAACAAUUAAAUCUUUUCGUUAAUCUACCAUCUUAGAAAGGCGUCAUGCACUUAAAGAGGUGAAAUCAAAACCAAAAUCAAAUUUCAGGGAUUGCACUGUCAAAAGCAAAACUCCAAGACAAAAUUGUUGCUAAGCCAAACUUCGGAGUCCAAAAUAAGUGAAAUCGAAACACUAAGACAAAAUUGGAUCUCGUUUCAGGAACUUGGUUGGUAAUUAACCCUAAACAAGAAAAUAUUUUGACGAAAUAUAAACCUGUUCAGCUCGACGAGCCAACUGCGCUGCUCGUAUUCGACGAGCAAUAUUGGAAACCCGUUCCCUCGCGAAAGAAUCAUCCAAUGCAGAAUCGCCACCCACAGCACGAACGGCAGCCGCCAUUGCUGCAGCAUCCCGGUUUCCAACAUUCGGCAUAGAGGACAAUAAAGAAGUCUCUAUCUCUUUCCAUUUGCGUUCCUCUUUUUCCAAAAGAACUUUCCUUCUUUCUUUUCCUUUCCCUUCCUCUUCCCGCCUUUGCAUCAAAAUCUCCUCUUCCAUCUCUUUUUCCCUUAUGUAGCUGCAGAGAUUUCACAACAACUGUAUAAAUAACUAGUGGAAUUUCAUAAAAACCAUCAAGUAAAAUAGAGAUAUUUUUGCUUUUAAAUCUGCAGAGAAACUUUUGUAUACAAAGAUAUCUUUUCUCGACAACUGAGGUUUCCUAUAUUCAUUUCAGAAACAUACUUCAUUACAUCUUAGAUCCUUGUACUUUCAAAAUAAUCAAUCCCUCCCCUCCCCUCCACCCCCCUUUUCAGAAAAGAAAAGAAAAUCUUUCCAACAGAAGGCCAAUUUCCCCACAUGAAUUGAAUGACAUUCCGGCUUAUGGGAAUUGUUAUAAGAAACUGCUUUUUUAANUAUAUAUAUGUAUAUAUAUAUAUAUAUAUAUAUAUAUAUAUAUAUAUAUAUAUAUAGAAUCCUUGCCCUUAAUUCAACAUUUAAAGUCAUCCAAACAUGCUUACAGAACCAAUACUGACCUUUCCUGGAUCAACUCAAAUUGCCUCCGAUCUUCUGGCAUCCAUUUCUUGAUUUCCUUUGCACUUAAAUCUGACAGGCCUAUACUAUCAAGGAAAAGCCUAAGGCGGACCUCAUCCUGUCAAAAGUAAAAAAAAUGAUCCAAAAUAACAGUUAAAGUUUGAAUUUCUUUGGAAGACGAGGCAGAAACAGAAAAAAAAAAGAGAGAGAAAUAAACAAGCUCUUACUUGUAUCUGUUCAGCCUUGGCAGUCAAACCAAGUAAAAGAAGCAAAUAACCACCGAAUUUAUCCCACAUAUACACCCACUCAGUGUCGAUCGCCUCCUCUAAAGCUAAAAUACGUGCAUGCGCACACAUUUUCCUUCUGUAAUCUACAUCCGCAGGGGAAUCAUGCCGAAAUGCAAAACAGGUUUUAAGUCUAUAAAGAAAAGAACCAGCUGCAAUUUCUUCAUUUCUCAGACGAUCUCUCAAUUUUAACACAUCGGCUCUCGGAAGCACAAAAUUUCCGGCCCUAUCCCGUGUAAUGGCGGGAUCUCCAAUCAGAAGAGCAGCUGAGCUAGCAGAACGCUGGGGAGCGGAGUAUGUGCCGCUUAAGGCAUUCCUGGUCUGAAUUUCCCAAACAAAAUAUCAUAAGCAUUUUUCAUCAUAAGUAGAACUACAUCUUACAUAAUUUAACAAUUAUAGAGAGCGCAGAGGUGUAUUAAAGGGGAGGGUAACUGCCAAUCUCCUGCCCAAAUGGCUAAUCUUACAUUUCAUUCACGCACUUUGUUGUAUAGCAAGCAUAAUACAACAAGAGAAGCCAAGUGAAAAUGAAGUUUUAAGAAAAUAGAAAUAACAAUAAAAAGAAAAAGAAACCAUUAAUAAUUUGUAAGGAUUUAAGUGCCGUGGCACGGGGUCGUGCCGGAAACUUGCCGGCACAGUACGGCACAGUGCGUGCCGAGCCGUACCGAUGCGUGCCGGCCAAAAAAAUUAUUGUGUGCCGACACAUAAUAGCAUGAAAUAUUUAUUUUCUUUAGCAACAAAAUAUUCUAACUAUUUAUUAUAUCUUUUUAUCGCAUCUUUUGAACUUUAUUAGGAAAUUACUUACUAAUUUAUAGAAUAGAGGGUUUUGAGCUGUGUCAUCGGCACGGGGUCUGUAUCGUGCCGGUAUCUUGUUGGCACGGUACGGCACGGUGGAUACGACCCGUGCCGACGGGCACUUAAAACCUUGUUUGUAACACAAUAACCAUACCUUGGUAACCGAGCGAGAUAUAGCUUGAACAACAGUAUCCUUGCUCAGAAAAUGUAGAGCAUCUUCCAUCAUCUGACAGUGGCAUAUUCACAAAAUUUCAAGGAAUAAGAGGACGUUAUUGCAAACCAAAUAACAGAUUGUAAAAGAAAAGAGUAAAACAAUAAGUUCUGAUCAUAUAUAACAAUAUAAGUGUCAGCAGCCAGAAAGAUGAACCAACCAUAAGCGUGAGACAUGGGCGAGAAACAGCGAAACUAAAGGCAACAACAAGAGUAAUUGCAGAUACAGCAGCUCCAGCAAAAGGAGGAUAGAUUUUCAGACUAGCAACGACACCCCAACCCUCGGUUGCCAAAGCAAUUCCGUAAAGCAAAAGAAAUGAGUGACUGUUGAAAUAAUAAUAGUAUUAUUAGAGCGGCACUCGUACUAUUAAACCAAAUUGAACAUUAAAUGAUAAGAAAGAGAAUAGAGCACAAGUAAAAGAGAUUCAGACCAGGCCAAGAAAAUAUUACUAUUUAGUCUAGGACUAACCUAACAUUUUUUGCACAGUCAGCAUGAGCAUCAUAAACAUAUACGGGUAAUACCCUUGGAGAAUAUACAACAAUAGGUGGCGAAAGAAGCACCUGAAAAAGAAAAAAGAAAAAAAAAAAAAAAGAGGAAAAAAAAGUCAACUUUAUUUCUUGCGGCAAAGAACUGUCAAGAACCAUGGAUCCAAAACUAAAUAAAAAUAAAACACAUUUAAGAGAAACAAAUAUAAAACCAUACAGUCAAUGAUCUUCCUGCGAGAAGAAACAGAAAAGAGAAGUAUCCCACAGAUGCACCGACAAAUGGUUUUCCUGCAGACAAUUAUUAACUUAGGCAUUACUAUGAGAAUUCAGGAAAUUAUAUCCUGUUAAAUGAAUCAGUUGAUAGCAAAAAUUGUCUAGAAAAGAUCUAACCACCUUCAAACAAACCCAACAGAAAUGCCGCCAAGGCAAGAAGAAAAGCAAGAAAGCAAACAAGCAACAUUUGUGUUCUUGUCAAAUAGAAACUGUUAGAAGCCCAAUACUGAAUAACACCGACAACAAAUACAAGAAGAAGAACAAUCAAGAGGAGUGCAACACCAACCUGCGAAAUAGGAAAACGCACUAAUGUAAGAAACUAAAAGGAAACUUCAAUACAUAGAGGGUCAUUGGCUACAAGAGUCCUCAAACUUUCAGCAGUUUACUUUAGUCCUCAAACCUUUCAAAUGGUGCAAUCGAGUCCUUCACAAUCUUACACUUUUCAUAGAGUUCCUCAAACAGGAUAAAAAAAAAUGUACACCUAAUCGCUGUAUGAAAAAUUAUACGGAUGGAGGAAUUUAACCGAGGUGGUAUUAUUGCAACACAACUUAAAGGCUAGCAGUCAAAUUGUAAAAAUUCAAAAGAUUAGGGACCUCACUGAAACUACAAAUGAAAAGAUGAGGACCCAGUGCAAUCUCCUUAGAACACAACUAAUUCAAGUACAUGAGUUUUAAGGGUUACUUACGGUCCAAGGCCGAAUAGUAACUAUAAUCGCUGAUAUUCCACCAAGCAACAACAGAAUUCCAAUGCCAACAAAGACAUAUACUCCACAAGAAAGUUUCCAAUCAUCAUCUUUCCUGCAAAAAUUUCCAUGAUCAUAAUUGAAGAGAGUCAAAUCAUGCAGUGGCCAGUGAAAGAAAAUGUAGAUUUACAAAAGAGAAGUUCAUAAGCCAACCAUUUGUAUAAUCCAGUAAACAGCGACAAAACUGCAGGAAUACAAAUAAGAGGAAGCAGUGCUGCAAGGAAAUCAGCCUUCAAUGGAACUUUGUCCGCUCGAGAAUUUACCACACCCCAGUAUGAUGCUCCACAGGAAGAAACAAGAACGACUACAUUGGAAAGACGAUAUAUCACAUGUCAGUAAUUAUGAUAUAGUGGUCUUAAGGGCGCAUAUGAAAAUUCAGAUAAAUAUGCAUAUAAGUGUAUAUAUGUAAAAUAGAUCAUUUUAAAGGGUAAACAUGGAAAUAUCUCAUGAUAUAGGGUCUAAAUUGUUUCAGUUGAUUUACUUGUGAACUAGUAGCAUAUUCCUGAAAGGCUUACAGGAAGCAGAACUUACGAGCAAAGACGCCAACACAUAUAGCUGAUGAAAGCGAAAAUCGGUAUGUGGCAAACCAAGCCAUAAUGGGAAGGCCAGCAGUGAAUAGCAAAGCAAUUGCUGACGUCAGUGCCCACCCGAGAUACAUAGAUGUUGCAUAAGGAGAGUAGAAGCUCUUUUUGUCACCAUCCCAUCCUCGGUAUCCUAAGUCAUCUAAAGGCUUGGCUGAUACUAUUGCACCGAGAGCUAUGACCGAUCCAGCGAAUAGUGAAAUACUGAGUGCAAGGAGAAUACGCUGAGAAGACAAAAAAAAUUGAAAAAUAUUAAAGAAAAAUGUGUCAGUAUCUCAACAUAAAACUUUCAAUGAUCUUAUAGAUAGUCAAGUAAUGCAAUCUUCAGAAACAUAAUGAUGAAAAGAUCACAAUCAGUUAAAUCCUUGCAGGGGAAUGCUUGCAAUGUCAAGCAAAAAGAGAUUCCUUCCAUUAAAUGAGUCCGCAUGAUGAAGUAAUGAAUUCACAAAAGCACCAAGCAAGUUACUUUGUUAAAUUGAUCAAGAACUGAGCAUGCUUUCCCUUUUUACAUGAUCAAGCAAGUCAGUGGAUACAACAACAGUUACAAUAUCAAAUAGUGUUUAAAGAUUGGCAUGUAUGGAAAAGAAGAGAGAGUCCAACCUCCUUCCUGGUAGGAACGUCCCGAACACUUUCACGACUUUCAAGCUCUCCUGCUGAAAUCCAGAAACGGUAGCCAUUACGUAUCCAUAUUGGUAUACCAAAUGCAAGGCAAGCCACCAUAACUGGGACAGUCAAUGCCAAGCCCAGAAUAACCGAGGAUUUGCUGCACCAUCACAUGGAAAUAUGACAGAUGAAUCAAAAGUACAAAAGAAAUACUGUAAAGUAAUAUGCACAAUGCUUUGUUGCAUAGAGAAUCUCAUCAAGUGUUGCUGAUGUGUCAGCACUGUACACGUGACAGCAGGUGACAAUUUUAGCUUUCUAGAAUUGACGACUGUCAGAGGGCAUGUCCGAAAUUCAAGAAGCCAGACCAUUCACUAUUUGCCACAUAUACAAUGUGAACUCAACAACACUUUAUAGAACUGGUUUUAUUUAUAAAGGAAGAUUCUGGUUUUAAAACAACAGCAGAUGACAGUAUAAAUUUAAAGAGUAACUAAAUCAUGUAGUCUGUUAUUUUUCAGAAACAUGAAUAUUGCAUUUAUCAUCUUACUACUUAACAAUACAUCCACUCCAAGUUUUCACCUUAAAACAGGUGGAAUCACAACUAGAUUAACCACGAACGAAUUAAUCAUGAAAUGAGAUUAUGCUCCACAAAAAAAUUGAAGUGUCUUUUUGAUUUGACAACCUACAUGUUCAUGAGUUCGUAUUCACUUCAGAUGAGAAAAAAUUAUGGCAGUUACUGUUCAUGAUAUUAAAGAAGCAGCAUUCAUACCUCAAGAAAGACAGAAGCAAACCAACACAUGUAGUCAAAAUCCACGCGAUGAAACCAUACUGGAAAUAUAAAAGCCAAAACAGAAAUGGUAAUGAGAUAUGGUAUUGUAACUGAAAUUUUAACAUGAAUUGGAACUACAAUCAAAGAAAAUAACAAAUCAAACAUAAGAACACAUUAUUGAGCAGGAAAAUGAAAUCACUCCUUUCGAAUACAAAAUUGCCUUAUAUAUAGGUGUUUGCACAGCAUUUACUGAUAGCUCAAACUAAAGAACAAAAAGCAACGCAUUUAACUACUCAGGUGUCACAGUCUACCAAGACUUCUGUUUGUUUACCAAAUAAAAAAGUAUUUUCCGUCCAAUGGUCAUUAGGUUCAUCAAUGUGCAUCAACAGAUUAAUUGUACAAUAGGCAGCUUUUCCAUUAGUAGCGACUAACAAAGACCAAAAACUUGCCUACAGAGAUGAGAACAGUAAACUCUGUACCCAAAAAUUGUUCUAGCCUCUUCUCUUCAAAAAUGAAAUAUUAAACAAUAAAACUCAACAGGAAAAAAAAAAAUGACAUCAAUGUUCCAUUUUAAAAGGAAAUUACUUUCCAAUAGAUUACCUUCCGGGGUCUGGAUGUCAUGGCCAUUUCUUCUGCUCGGAGGGAUUGAAGGAACGCCAUAACAGAACAAACAACAGGAGAAAGAAGAAGUACCGAAAAACCAAAUUCAAACUGCAAGGUGAAGUAAACGAUUAAUGCAUAAGAACAAACGUGAUCUUGAAAUCACAACUCCAAAAUAUUUUUGUAAUUAACUGCCUGUUUGGCCCCACAAAAAAGGGACCACCUCUGCUCCUGCCUUUUGCUGAAGGCACUUCUAAAAGAGCAUUGGCAAACAGAGAAGUCUGGAGCUUCUGGUGUGGCAAGAAGCUAAAAUGAGAAUGAUCACUAAAAAAAGAAGCUCCAGUUUGAAGCAGACGAUUCAGCUGUAGAAAGUUUUUAAGGACUUUGUGCUUUAAUGCUUCUUUGAAUAUCAGUACUAAAACAGCAUAUUUCGAAGCCUAUUAUCGAACAGCAGUAUUUUGAAAAGGUAAGACAGUUGCAACAUAGUUUUUACCUGCUCAUGUGUUGCAUUUAUCAACUUAACUGGCUUGGGACGAAAGAUGGCCAUUAUUACUGUCUCUACGAUAAAAACUAAGCUGAAAAGAAUCCAUGCACGUUCCGGCGUACCAGCUAUAAGGUGCAAUAUACGCCUAGAAAGAUUAAGCCAUCUAUCCAACCCGCGCCGCCUCAAUUCUUCCGAUAGGGAUAAAAUGUUCGGGAUAGUGGUAUCGACCCUACCAGAAUCAGUGGCAGCAACAUCCGCAGCCUCUGCAUGAUCUCUAUCUGCAUCUAAACUGCUUCUCUGCAACAAAGCUAGAAUCCUCGGAUCCAACCCCUUCUCCUUCAACAUGAAAGCAAAAUUUGGGUCUAGUCCUUUAUCUUCGAGUAGAUUGAUUAAUUCACGAUCUCCAUGAAGUUUCCUUUUCAGCAUAGAUGUGAUUCUUGGAUCAUUCAGCCUAUCCUCGAAAAUGGCGGCUAGAUUCAAGUCCAAAAGCUGCUGAUUUGAAUUUGCGAUUGACCCACUGGACUCGCAACCUUGGCUCUCUAAUCCACUACUAGAGCAAACAACUAGCGAACUGUUCACCAUUUCAGACUCUUGAAUAAUCGAUCGGCACGAAUUACUACGAUGGGCCAAACUUGCUCGCCCACUAUCUACAUUACCCUCUUGGCAACUAUUGGAUCGAGCAAAAAGCAUCCAGUUAUUUCCAUCACUGAUAGAUUGGGAGUUGUUUCUACACAUAGACUCAUUGGGGUUACCAUUUUGAACUGCUUCGACGCUGCCACUACUUCGUUUAACACUAGAUCCACAGCCAUCAGAUGAGCUUGAAGAGCUAUUUUGCCCUUUCCGCCUGAAUCCUUCACGAAGUCUUAUAACGGUGCUUCUUAAAGCAUCUCUCCUUGCAACAGAGGGGUUCAAAAUAGAAAGCCGACGGGAAACAGCAGCAGCUAAUAGCACAGAUGAUACGAAUGCAUAGCUAAUGCAAUGUCCAAGGUACCUGAAACAUUGAUAAUUUCAUAGUAAAUGUUAGAAAAUGAAAAGAUAUUCACAUAUUUGCCCGGAAGAAUUUUCUACUUACACUUAUAUCCCUCGAAAAUCUGAAAGUUAACAAAUAUACUUCGAAAGCCUGAUUUCUUAAAUAUAUACUCUACCUAAAAAAAUGGCCCUCUUUCAAAACAUUUUCUACUACAAAACCACAUUGUUCACAUGAAUUGGACCACUCCCAAAAUAAACACAACCAGAAAAUGCAUUAUUGAAAGGUGUAUAAUAAUCCAGAUUUUCUAGGGGUAUAUGUAUGCAAAUACAUGAUUUUGAAGUGGUCUAUAUAUAAAGCUCCAAGAUAAACACAACCAGAAAAAAAAAGAAAAAAAAAAUCUUGAAUAUGCUUAAUGAAAUAAAUAAGAGAAUGAAUAAAGACCAAUAGUGCACUCCAAAGCAGAUAAGGAAGAGCCUGGAUGUUCCAGCCACAAACAGUGCCAACACGCGACUUUUAAGUAACUCAAAUCCAAACAUGCACGAGCCAAUAUUCCAGUCUGUGAGAAGUAAAAGAAGACAUAUUGGAAAAGGAAAGAAGAAUAGAUAGUGAAAUUAAAUAAGUUAUGGAAAGAAUUCUCGAACAUUACCAAGAAUGACAACUGCAAUUGAAGUAAUCGCCCCCAACCAAUGUGCUUCUUUUGCCGUCAACCCAUACAAGAUGGAGUACAUAACAAGAAAAAGCAGUGAUCCAAGGUAGAGAAGUCCUAGAUGUAAAGCCCUGCGUUGGACAUACACAGUCAAAGGUCAAAAAAGAGAAAGCAAUAAUGAUAAAAAGAAAUUUGCUGCUUCGGAGAGAUUACAGCAAAAAACUUUAAUAAUUAACUAACUCAAAGAUUGAAGGUAAAAUAUAGAGAGGUAAAAUAUAGAGAGCUUAUCUAAACUACAACAUAUUUUGAAUAGAUGUCUAAACUUUAAGAGCUUUGGCUUUACGACUUAAUCUUCUGGUGUUUUUAAAACUCAGUAUUUGAACUUAACAUGUCUUGAUUUUACUCCACACUUUUACACAGUAUAUUUAACACUUUUAACAAAGUAACAUCUCACAGGGUAUGCUGUUACAUUGAUGGACUAUUCUAUGGAAAAUGCUGCAAAUACUGAAAGGUUUGAUAAUACAAUCAAAAUUUUAAAGGUAAGAUACCAAUUUCAAAAGGAGGCACUAUAGUUCAGGUCAGAUCUUUUACAAAGAUUAAAGCAGUUGAGAGGAUUGGCAAGAAGAGAUUUAAGAAUAAAUUUAAAGACCAACAGCAGAUGACUAACUUGAAAUGUUUCAUAAAUCAAAAGUAAAAUAAACUAUUAAAACAGAACAAGAAGAAUGUGUAGCACUUGCCUCUUGGAUUUUCUAAUAUAUAAAUCAUUUGGAUCCGGUGGAUCGGGUAAACACGAGACAGGACCCACUUCAACACAAUCAGAGUAUGCAAAUUUGUAUGACCUCCGCACAUAUUCAUCAACAUCAAACCCGUUUCCUGUUUAUAAUAAACCCAGCAAUAUAACAAAAACUAGUUCCAAUACACCAAAACAAUAGUGUCAACUGUAUAAUAAGGUUAUAUUCACUACCAAACGGAAAAAGAAUCGAAGUUACCAUUGAAGACAAUUUUGCAUAUGAAUAGCAUGUUAAUGGCCAAUGCUAUGGCAGAUACGCCAAAGAAAAAUCCUGAUGCUGAAUAACGCUCGGCGGCACUUGCGCCAGCUGUCACAUAAACAGCACAGAGUUCAUAUGCACAAAGUAGAGCUACUGCAAAGAGAAGAAGGUAAGCAACAGCCCCUGCAGUAAAGAACCAAUGGGUUAAUGAAGCAGAAAAACAACAGAAAUUGAAUAAACAAGCUCAAUGUAACAGCAUAAAUUACAUGUUAUUAUAAAAGCACUUAGGAAAAUUGACAAUAACAAUACUCCUCUUUCCUUCUUAAAAGCAGUAUGCUCAAAAUGCCCAUAAUAGUGAAUAAAUAUCCCCAAGCUGCAACAUAGAAUAAUUAAACAAUUUCUAUAUACUAAUUCUUCCUAUUAUUUAUAGGAAUACUCAUGGUUUUUUUAUCCACAUUCAUACACCAAUGAAGAGCAACAAAUGCAGAAACAAAGGAAUGAAACAUGUGAGGAAAUUGUUGUCUUAGGCUCUAGGUGCAUAUUGCAAAGAACAAAAUAAAAGCAUAUAAAUUAGGUUAAAAAACAGAAGAUGGGUAACAAAGGAUGGAAAACACAGGAAUAAGUUCCAGAAUGCAUAGCAAUUGUCAAAGUUGAUUAAAGAUCCUCAGAGUGUAUAAGUACCAACAAGUAUUGCCAAAGUCACUGCCUCCGACUUUUAAUACUUAAUAGUUGGACCACCAAGACGAUGCUGCCUCAUCCACUAUUACAGUAAGAUUAAUUUUAACCACGUUUACUAUGACAUUUCUCAAUUAUUUAAAUUGAAUUAAGAAUGUACUCUUACUUAGGUCAAGCAUCAUCGACAAUCCACUUAGAAUUCAAUGAUACUUUGGCAUGUCUCCAAUAGCUCUUCGUUUUAUUUUCUCUUUUCAAUUUUCUUUCUAUUUUAACCCCUCGUAUUUUACCUUCUUACACAAUUAUUAUGACCAAUGGAAACACAUGCCCCAUGAUUUCUUAGUUCAAUGCUCUUGAUUGAGCAUCCUAGCAGGAUGUGUUAAACAAGUUUAAUUUGGUGGCACUUCCGUAUCUUUUUAACACUCCGAAAAUUUUUCUACAUAAUUUAAAACAUAACCAGCUUCACUUGUUAAGUGCCCGCUUAAAUGCCUAGCCAGCACAUUUUUUAAAGUCUCUACUCCUCACCAUGUACACCUCGUCUAUCUUAAUAUCAAUGCAACUAAAAUUAAAUUAAAAGGGGGAGAAAAGCUCACGUCCAACAAUUUGGUGCCACCAUAUAUAUCCUUUCCUCCACUUAGGCAAGGUACCUUGUUAACUAGCCACAAUUAUUUCUACUGGCGACUAUUUUCUGUCAUAUUUGAUCUUCCCUUCCCACUAUCAUCAACUCAAAGACAAUGAACUUCUCAAUAGUAGCACCAUUAUCCAUCUCAACAGCCCAAAAUCUAAGAUGCUUAAUCUCCUCAUCUAUUUGCUUCUUGUUAGUCCUAUAUUUCAAUCAUUAUAUCCUGUACUACUUCUGUACUAGUUAUCAACCUACCAUACAACCACUUUUAAAUUUUUAAUAUAUAAGAAGCAUAGGCAUAUAAUAGCUUUAACUCUCAGAAGAUCUUAUUUAUCAUCCAGAGAAGAAAUCAUCCAGCAGCUCUCACAUUAAACUAAACUUUAGAUGCUUUAGUAGCUUCACCAAGAUUCUCUUACAGAAAGAAGGUUUUUAUAUUUAAUAACAUAAAGAAAAGGCAAACAAUUAGCAUAAAGAUUGAAAACAGGUUCAUCCCCAAAACAAAAAGGAAAAAAGAAAAAAAAAAUUAGCUAAGUAUCACAAAGACCAAAAUGUUAUAGCAUUCACGUUGGAGUACAGGAUGGAACUAGAAAUUAAUGUUGUUUUACUCCAUAGAAGGUUAAAGCCAUUGUAGCAGACAAACUACUUAACAUUUGAACAUUGAAAAGAUGAAACAUAGGAUAAAAGGAAAAAAAGAACUUCUGUGAUCACAGAUUGAAACUGCUAAUAGCAAAAAUAAAAUUUCUAUUAAUCUGGAGGAGGCAAACAGGAGAGAGAGAGAGAGAGAGAGUUGUACGGCAACAUAUGCGACUUAGAAAGUUCAAACCAUUUGAAAGAAAAAAAAUCAAACUCCACACAUAACUUUUAUUCUUAAUAUUGAAGGAAAAAAAAAACAUGACUCCACUAAUAGUAAUCACAAUAAAAGAUUGAACAUACUUGAGCUUUGCCAUUGUGUCCUCCACCAAAGCAUUAUCGAAUAGAAAGCUAGCAACAGAGCAGUGCCAGCCAUUAUCACAGCCAAACCAAUAAUAUUUCGGUCCAAAAGUGCAAUGAGAAAACUUCCCCAUGCUAUUAGAACAACAAUUGGAGAAAGGACGACAACCCAUGCAAACAGACACAGCAAACUGCAUAUUGCACUUAAGUGAAACCCUUGUAUAAUCUCUGGCCAUUUCCUUGCAUAUAUCCAACUGAAUCAUGAAAAGGGUAAAGUUAGCGCAUAAAGAAAUACAAUUAUACUACUACAAACACAAAAAGUUGACAAACAAUAAAUCAAACCAGGAAGCAAAUGAAGUUCCUACAGAAGAUUUCUCAAUACAAAAGCAUAAUUCUUGCCUGCUAGGAGUUUGAAGAAAAGCAAGUUUAAUUAACUAAGAAAAUAGUUGCACAUUUUUAUCCGAGUAUUAAGGAAGAUGAAAGUAUGCAAUUGCCACAGCAUGAAGACUGCAAUUAAUACAAAUACUCCACAGUUAUUAGAAGGAGAAAGAAGGCAGAAAGCAGUAAGCUGAGAAGGCCAGUGCCUAAGCAUUUAGGAGACAAUUAUCAAACUAUCAAUAAAAACACUAGAUUGUUCUCCAAUUAGAAGUUAGAUAUCCUGAGAAUACUAAAAACUUCAUAUUUAGCAUUACAAACUUCAUAAUUAGCAUUACAUCCUCCUAAAGUGGUCUAGUCAGCAUUAGAGCUCCCCUAUAGUGUAGUCAAAAGUAAAGAAUAAAACCAAAAUGGAGAAGUUGAAUCAAUAUAUCAAAAUAAGGUUAUGAGCUAUUUUAGAUAUCUAUAAACUGCACGAUUAUAGAAUCUCAGCAGCACCAAGCAGGCUCUAGGAUGAUCAGUUAAGCAACACAAUAACAAGACAGUUAAUUUUAUUGACAGAGUAUGACCAAUAGAAAGCAUAUUAUUACUCUAACAAAUGACAAAAAAUUAAAGUUGAUAGCCAAUAUUCAAGUUACCUAUAUAUCCUCCACGGCCGCCAAUUCACAGCCCAUAGAACCCAGAAACUGAGAGGACCGAGGACAGAGAACAGAGCACCGCACACACUGCACGCGAGAACGACCUCAUGGUGCUCGUCCACUUCCAUUGCCCCCCGUCUCCGCCAAAUCCAACCCUCAAUCCAUCAGGGAAACUCACCAAACCUACAACAAAACACAAAUCUCCCCCAAGUAUAGUAAAAAAAAAAAAAUCCAAUUUUUACCCUAAAAACAGUAGCCAAAUUAAUCCUUUCGAGCUCAAAUCAGACAUUUCCAAAAGGUCCACACAAUCUGAGGCUCAUUCUAAAAGAAUUAACCGAGAAACAGCAAAAAUCCCAUUUUUUACCCUAGAAACAGUGCCAAAACUAUCCCUUUCAAGCACAAAUCACUAACUCCCGAACAAUCCUCAGACACGGCUCGUUAUCAAAGAACUACCAAAAGUUAACAAAACAAAAUCCAAUUUUUACUCUAAAAACAGAAGCAAACUUAAUCCUUCCAAGCUCAAAUCACAAAUUCCCAAACAAUCCACACAAUCAACGGUUCAUUCCCAAACAUUUACACUAACAAGCCCUAAAGCACUACAAAAGGCGCGACUUGAGGCCCACCCCCCCCCCAUGGGGUAAGAUCUACGAGACGGAGCUCAGACACCUCGAUCUGAGCGGCGAAACCCUAGGACGGGCUUAGAGAGAGGUAGGGUAGGUGGGAGGGGAUUGAAACGUACCUCGAGCUCUUCAACAUAGAAAGGGGAGGGAGGUGGUCUCUUCUCCGAACUUUUGCAAACCCUAGAUAUGGGGGAGAGAGAGAGAGAGAGAGAGAGAGAGAGAGAGGGAGGGAGAGGAGUCGAGUGUGGAGUAGAGAGAGAGAGAGAGAGAGAGAGAGAGGGUGAGUGACAUUUGUCAAAGUAUAUGUGCGGAGUAAUAAAAUAAAAUAUAAAAUAUAAAAUAAAUAAAUAAUAAUAACAAUAAUAAUUAAAAACGUGGAGAGAGAGAGGAUGAGUGGGGAAGAGUGUGGAGAGGAAGAUAUUAGACNGAAAUUAGAGGGGCUAGUUGGAAAAGUGCGUUUGAAAAAAGAGUUUUUUUUUUUUUGGCUAAAAAAGAAAUUUUAAAUCAUUUUAUGUUUACAAAAAUGCUUUUAUGAAAAAAAAAAUCAAAUUUUCAUAAAAAGGUUUUUUUGGCCAAUUUGCAUAAAAAUUCCACAAAUUUUGAGCUUUUGCAAAACUGAGCCACAUUUUUCAAUUUUGUAGAUUUGGGUCGAAUUUUUCGUCAUCGGACAAAAAUGCCUUUAUUCCCUUUCUUUCUCUCUCUUCUUUUUUGUUCUCUUUCGCGUACGCCUCUCCGCCUCAACCCUUCCCCACCCGCUCCACCUCAACCCUCCGCGUACGCCUCUCCGCCUCCCCUGCCCCUUCCCACCCGCUUCGUCUGAACCUCUCCGCAUAUGCCUCGCCGCCUCGGCCUCGUAGACCUCUACCCACCUCCGCCCUUAUCCCUCCCCACCCGCUCCGCCUCAACCCCUCUGCAUACGCCUCUCUGCCUCGACCUCGUAGGCUUGGUGGGGUCCUAGACGAUCUCGCCCUGGAGCCCGACGAUGUCGCGGACCAUCUUGGCGAGGUCGCGGAUGGAGAUCUCGGCGCCACUGCCGACGUUGACGUGGUCAAGGUUGGAGUAGCGGUCCAUGAGGAAGAUGAGGCGUCAGCGAGGUCGUCGACGUGGAGGAACUCGCGGAGCGGGGCGCCGGAGCCCCAGACGACGAUUUUCUCCGCUAUGGCACCGGAGCCCUAGCAGGGCACCUAUCUUAAUUAGUUAGCACCUAUGUAAUGGUGUAAAAAAGAAAAAGGAAGAGGAAGAGGAGGAUAUGGAUAAAUGAUGCAAUUUUGGGCGAAAUGGUGUAAAUUGGACAAAAUUUGCACAUUUCUCCUCCUCCUCCUCUUCUUUUUCUUCCCCUCCGCUCCGCGUGCAGGCGGCGCACCUGGGCCUGCUCGAUUACGACCAGUCCGGCACGCUCGGCGUUUGGAUGGCCCUCACGGUGGUCGCCGAGAACGACAACCGUGUGGCCGCUGUGGGCUUCUCAGAUGUCGGCUUCAUACUCAACUUCUACCGGAUCGACAUCUGUGCGCCGCUCCGUUAACAGUCUAGCGCAACUGCUCGUGGCCGCUGCAAUUUGGCCGCUGCAGUAUGACGUGCAGGCACCGCCAGUCUCGCUCGACGCCGACGCUAUGCAAGCCAUGGACGCCAUGAAGAAGGAAGAGGAGGAAGAGAAAGAAAAACAGUGUAAUUUUUUUUUAAACAGUGUAAUAUUUGUCAAAAGAGUGCAACUUUUGUUUCAAGGAGUGUAAUUUUUAUUUCAAAGAGUGUAACAUUCACCUUAAACAGUGCAAUUUUUUUUUAAAACGGUGCAAUUUAAUUUUAACAGUGCAACCUUUAUCUUCCUCUUUCUUUUUCUUUGAUUUGUCGCCUUUUUCGAUAAUAGUAACGAUAUAUAAUAGUCUUUCAAAGAGACAAUUUUUUUUUUUUAUUUUAAUUUUUACUCUUAUUUUUUUUAUAUCCUCUACAUCUUUAUUCGCUUUUUCCUCGGUGCCGGCGAAGACGGAGGCGGUGGGGGUGUUGUCAUGGAAGAAGGAGAGGCGGUGGAAGGAGAAGGUGGGCGUUGCAGAGGAGGAGGUGGCGGAACUCUAGAUGGGGUCGGAUUUGGGGGUGUCGUCGUGGGAGAGAGAGAGGCGGCGGAAGGAGGAGGUGGGUUCGUCGGAGGAGGAGGAGACGAUGGGGAGGGCGGGCGCUGCGGAGGAGGAGGUGGCGGAACUCGAGAAGAAAAUAGCGAAGAAGAAAAAAGAAGAGAGAGAAAAAAAAUGAAUAAGGGUAUUUUCGUCCGAUGGCGAAAAAUCUGGCCUGAAUUUGUAAAAAUAAAAAAGGUGGCCCGGUUUUGCAAAAUCUUAAAAUUUGUGGAUUUUUUAUGCAAAUUGGCCUUUUUUUCAAAUUUUUUAUUUGAAAAAUAAAAAAAUUCUUAAAAAAGGGUGUCUAUAUAUACCAUGGAAAAACCUUUUUUUUUUAAGAAUAAUUUUUUCCUCUUUUGAAACUUAUUUUCCAAAAAUUGAGAAAUAUUUUCUAAAAAAUAUAUAUAAAACAAAUCCCUUUUUAAUUUUUCUGCCCAAAAUAAACAAAGUUUCAAAUUUUAAGAAAAACUAGUAUUCUCAUUUUUAAAUUUUUUCAUCCAUAAAAUAAAAAUAUUAUUUUUAUAAAAUCUGAAAAAAUAAAAUAUUAGUAUUUUUCGAAACCAAACUAACAAAAAUUUUGAUUUUUUUUUUUCGAAAAUACUGUUUUCCACGUCUUUUUGAUAAACCGACCCCAAUAAAUGAAGUAAAACAAUCCAAAUUUUUCCCUCUUUGCAUAUAGCAAUAUAAAUUUUCAAAUUUUUAUAUUUUUAUCCAAACUUUCAAAAUUUUGUAAUGAGCUGUAUGAAUUUGUAUUCUGUCAAUUUAAACUGAUUAAUACAAGCUAAUUGACCAAGAAAUAAUAAAAAAAAUCCAUGCCAGCGAUAUAGAUAGGUUAUUUUAACAGCAAAAUUAUGUUUGUAGGUAAAAUUAGGAUUUUCGGGCGACUAAGCUUAUAGGAUUUUUUUUAAUUCUAAGAAUUGAAGUCUGGUAUUUUUAGCCUAAGCGGUGAAUGACUCAUCAAUUUUUAGUGCAGUGGAAAAAAAUGUGAAUCAUUCACCGCUUUUUGAAAAGAUAAAAUCAUUUACCAUUUUUAUCAAACUUACAUAUUUUUUAUAUCCGAACUUCAGGUUGCGUUUGGUAGCGAGAAUAUCUCGGAACAAGACGGUAUAUCUCCAAAUUUGUUACCGAACGAUGGAAGAACUGCGGAGAAUGGGUUGUUCUGAUCAAAGCAAGUUGUUCUGAGUUGUUCUAAAACAACCCGUUAAAAAUUGUUCCUAAGAGAACAACUUUGUUCUUCUCUUUAUUUUAUUAGAUAAAUGGAUAUAUAAAUAAACAUAUUAAUAUAAAUAUUAUUUUUAUGAUAAUAUAUUUAUACUUAAAUUUUAUUAUAUAAUAUAAAUUAAUUAAAAUUUAUAUAUUAUUUAUUUUAUUAAGUUUUAUCAUUUAUAUUUUAAUAUUUAAUUAUUUUAUUUUAUAUUAAGUAUUAUNAUUAAUAAAGAUAUCAUUAAAUAUUAUAUCAUAAAGUACAUUAUUAAAUUAAAUUUUAUUAUAUAAAUUAAAUAAUAUAUAUUAUUAAAUAAAAAAUAUUAUUAAAUAAGUAUUAUAUACAUUCCUUAUUUCAUAUUAUGAUUGUUAUAGUAUAAAUAAUUUUAUAUAAAAUAUACUAAUAUGAAUAAAUUAGUUUAUUUUUAAAAAUAUAUUUAGACAUUGUUUCUAGACUUUUUAUCCAAAAGCUACUAUGGUUAUACUUUAAAAUAUACCCAAAUUAUCCAAACACAAAUUUACAAUUAUUUUAUUUUGUACCGGAAUAUCUCAUAUUCUCGAGAACAACAAAAAAUUGUUCUUCAAAUUUUAGUUCUCCAACUAAACGCAGUCUCAAAGUAAGUACAGAAUUAAAUCCUAAAACUAAUUUCAAUAUUUUGAAAAAAGCGGUGAAUGAUUUACUGCAUAAGCAUAAUUUUAUAAAUAUAUUUUUAAAAAGCUAUCCCUAAAUUCAUUCACCGCACAGAGCUAGUUUUAUAAAAAAGCUAUUUUUAUAAUUAUAAUAUUUUUUAAGUCUAUUAAUUAAAAAAAUCGGUAAAAUUAACCAUAAUUAUCUUAUUUAAUUUGCAAACAUUAAAAACUAAAAAUUAAUUCUCAACUAUUAUCAUAAGAAUAAAUUUUGACAACAAAAAAGAUCCUUUACUUUGUUUUUUUUUUUUUUGAUAUUUGGUUAAUAUUACUCACAUUGAGUUGUUAAAAUAUAAUCUUAAAAGUGGAUUGUAAAUUAUUUAAAAUAUUGAUGGUAAAUAUAAAAUUUGAGGCUUUGGAUUGCUGCUAUGCAUUUAACCCUAGGAAAAAAUUUUACAAAAAAGAACAGAAUUGCAUAAACACCCCUUGAACUUUAGUGCUUUGUCAAAUGAUCCCUUAAAUUUUUAAAUCUUGCAAUAUGCACCCUAAACUUUAUUUAACUUGCUCAGUUCAUUCUUGUGAUGAAGAAAAUAUUGUAUCAGGAUUGGAGAAUAGAAUAAAUCAAUCUCAAAAUUUUGUUAUUCUACUGUAUAAGAAGGGUCUAUUAAACUAUUUAAUAGAGUAGGGCUACUAUACUCUUAUGAGUGUAGAACCCUUCGUACUUAUAAGUUGUUUUCGAUGAUGAAGCAUCCGAAUCGACGAUCCUCUCUGUUAAAUAUGAUAUAGAGUAUUUGAAACUUCUAAAAAAUAAAUUUCGUAAUUUUUCGAAAUCAUAAGAAAGUCUAUCAAGCGGGCAUGAAAUGAACGGUCAAAAUCAAACGACGUCCUAAAAAUGGAUGAUCAGAUCCUUCAAUUUAAAAUCGGAGUUAUUGAUCUUUAUCUAGGUAGUGAAUAGAAUUUUCUAUUAAAAAUUCAAACUAUUCUAAUUCUUUUACACCGUUAAAUUAGCAAGUAUUUCACAACGGCCGUUAAAAAUUGUCGAUUUUGUGACCUUUUAAUCGUAACGUAAAUGAUAUCGAAAAAUUAUGAAAUUUGAUUUAUAAAAGUUUUAAAUGAUCUAGAUAAUGUUUAACGGUAUGGAUCGUCGAUUUGUAAGCUCUAUCAUCGAAAACGACUUAUGAAUACAAGAGCGAUCGUAUUGAUAAGAGUAUAGUAGCGGGACUCCUACUUAAUAAAGUAUAAUGCCUUGUUAUUAAAAUUAGAAGCUUAGGGGACUAUUUACUGACCGUCCCUAGAGCAAGUAGUAAAGGGCUUGGUGGUUGGUACCCGAGACCCAAGUUCGAAUCCUAGUUGAUUCAUAUUUCGAGCUAAGUUUAUUUCUAAAUGAAAUAAACAAAGCGGGUAGCGUGCUACCUAUCUCUCUAAAAAAAAAAAAAAAAAAAAAAGCUCAAUAUUUCUUAAAACAAGUUAUAUUACUUGGCUUUCCUAUUCUUAUAUUCAAACUCUAUGAGCUAAUUUUCCAAAACUUGUUUUGUUUUUCCGUUUUGACAUAGAGAGAGAGAGAGAGAGAAAGAGAGAGAGGUCGCAAGCUAUUCGUUUCAUUAAAUGAAUGCACAACUAUAAUUGUGAAGUAAUUAUGCUUCCAUCUCGGGACCUCAGGUACCAACAAUUACACCCUCAGUCAACUGUGCUAGGUACAGUUGGUAUUCAACUGUACAAGUUUUUUACGCAGUUUGCUAAGAUAUAGAUUUGGCUCAAAAUAUAAAACAACUACUCUUCGAGCUUGGAAUCUCAAAUACCAAUCAUCAAUUUUUUUACCACUUGUGCCAUGCACGGUGCGUCGAUUAUUCAACUCCACAAGUUUGAAUUUUAAUAGGAGGAAUUUAUUAUUAGGGCCUAAGUCCAACAUGUGAACAAUGUUAAUCCUAACUAUGUUAGACCAUUGCUUUCCAUGUCCUCAUUGGCCACCUCAUUGUCACAUUGUUUGACAUUCUAAUUCCUUUCUCUAUCAAAGAGACUAUUGGAUUCUCUCUCUCUCUCUCUCUCUCUCUCUCUCUCUCAAUUUUUUUUUUCUCUAUUUUUAUUUUAUAGUAUAUUUGUACACAUUAUUUAUUGUUGCGUGGGACCUCGAGAAUAAGAUGCUAUGAAGAUUCUACAUAGAAUUUAUACCUAAUAACUUAUCUUAUUAAGUCACAUCCAAUGGUGAGGGUGUAAAAGUGUAUACAACUUAUCUAAAUUAUCUAAAUUAUAAGUCAUUUUAAAUUGAAUAACUGAUAUUUUAAAAUUUUGAUUUUACUAUCCAAUUUUUCAAUUUGUUUGAUUUAAGUUAGUCAAUAAAAUUUUGACUUCAAAAAUUUAAGCUGAUUGCUUACUUUAAUGAGUUUAUAGUUGCGAGAAUUGCAUAAAUUUCAAAGUUAAAAAGCCACUGACCAACUCAAAUCAAACAAAUUGAAUGAUUAAAUAGUAAAAUCAAAAUUUUGAAAAGUCAAAAAAUUAAAUCAAAGUGGUACAUAAUUCAGAUAAGUUUUAUAACUUUUCAUCAAGAAAAAUAGUAAUUUUAAGUUGAAUGAUUAGGGGGGAAAAAAAAAUUUAUUUGUGUACUCUUGUGCAACAUGUUAAUGUUUGAUUAUAAGAUAAUUUCUCCUCCCUUGGUAUAUAUAAAGUGGAGGAUUUUGAUUAGUUUACGAAAGUAAUACAAGAUGUUAUGUAAAUUUAUCAACAUAUUAAUAAUUCAUAAAAAAAAUUUUCCUGGUUAGUGUUAGGGUUUGGAUAUAAGUAGGGAGAAAGGAGCCUAUUUCUCGUCUUACACCCAAAUUCUAAGUGGAACGCUUGUUUCAGUCUUAAUGGGUUAUCCGGAAAUAACCUGUUUAAAAAGAGGAAUAGUAGUUCCACCCUAGUUAAGUAAUAAAUAAAUAUAAAAUAUUACUAAUUAAUGUAUAAUGUGUUAAUUUAUUUACUACUUAACUAGCUAACUAAUAAGUUAUUUAUUUAUUAAACUAAUAAAUAUAUGAUUAACUACUCGAGCAAUCAAUUUAUUAGUUAUAAUUAAAUAAUUAAAAUUUCUAAUUUAUGUUCAUAUUAAUCAACUAUUAAUUAAUUUACUAACUAGUUAUCUAACUUAUUAAAUAAUUAACAGGGUAACUUAUUUUUGUAGUUAAUUGAUGUGUUAUUGUGUUUUUCUCAUUAUCUUAUGGAGUGUUCAUAGUUAGCUUAUUAUUACUUACUUAUUAAAAUUUUAUUUAAUUAAUACUUUGAGAUUUGUUAAUUAGGUAAAAUAAUUUUACUUUAAAAUCACAAUUAAUUACUCCCAUUCCUAAUUCCACUUUAACCAUCCAAAUAUAUAUAUUUUUAAUUCCUCUGAAUAACUCAAUUCUUAUUCAGGUAUAAAAUUAGCCCCAUUGAUACGACAUUGUCGUAUUCCAUCAAAAAUAAAUAAAAAUAAUUUAUUCUCGAACCAAACGAUAUAUGCGGAACACAUGGCAUUUGUCUUAUACUGGUUUAAUUGUUGGGACCAUCAUGAAAAUU
RNAcentral lists this long non-coding RNA (42841 nucleotides) under Ananas comosus (pineapple). Its description in RNAcentral is "long non-coding RNA (ACOM_LNC009463)". Lineage: Eukaryota; Viridiplantae; Streptophyta; Magnoliopsida; Poales; Bromeliaceae. The record is from RNAcentral.